GUUUGAGUGGAAGAAAAUCAUUGGAUCUUUUAUUUACCACAUGUAUUUGGUUUGCAGGUUGCUGCAGGAUUCUACAUCAGAUGCAUUGUUUUACUGCUCCCCACUCAGAGAGAGAUCACAAGUAGGCAGAGAGGCAGAGAGGAGGAAGCAGGCGCCCUGCCGAGCAGAGAGCCCAAUGCGGGACUCGAUUCCAGGACCCUGAGAUCACGACCGGAGCUGAAGGCAGAGGCUUAACCCACUGAGCCACCCAGGCAUCCUAGGA
RNAcentral lists this long non-coding RNA (262 nucleotides) under Mustela putorius furo (domestic ferret). Its description in RNAcentral is "lncRNA (ENSMPUG00000026915.1)". The record is from RNAcentral. Lineage: Eukaryota; Metazoa; Chordata; Mammalia; Carnivora; Mustelidae.